This 421-nucleotide ribosomal RNA is filed under the name uncultured archaeon. Its description in RNAcentral is "partial 16S ribosomal RNA". It matches the Rfam family "Archaeal small subunit ribosomal RNA", at positions 323 to 746 of the family's 1478-position model. The record is from RNAcentral.
CUACGGGUGGCUGCAGUUAGGUAUAAUCUACAAUGCGCGCAAGCGUGAUAGUUUGAGCCAGAGUGUGUUCCAAUUGGAAUGCUUUUGCCGAAUGUAAAAAGUUCGGCGAAUAAGGACUGGGUAAGACUGGUGCCAGCCGCCGCGGUAAUACCAGCGGUCCAAGUCGCAGCCAUUUUUAUUGGGUCUAAAACAUCCGUAGCUUGUCUGGUAAGUUUCCUGUGAAAUCUGAUUUCUUAAGAAUUGGGCGUGCAGGAAGUACUGCCAGGCUAGAGACUGGGAGACGUAAGGAGUACGUUCGAAGUAGCGGUAAAAUGUUUUAAUCUCGGACGGACUAACAAUAGCGAAGGCACCUUACGAGAACAGUUCUGACAGUCAGGGAUGAAGGCUAGGGGCGCAAAACGGAUUAGAUACCCCUGUAGUC